Molecule: small RNA, 79 nt
Filed under: Procavia capensis (Cape rock hyrax)
Lineage: Eukaryota; Metazoa; Chordata; Mammalia; Hyracoidea; Procaviidae
Description: Y RNA (ENSPCAG00000019220.1)
Source: RNAcentral
AGUUAAUCUGACAAUUGUGGGGUAUUGUUAAACUGUUUAGCAUCAUCUCCCUCCUACAACAAUAUUUAGCUAGCUUUGC